CCUGACUCACGGGCUCACGGCCUGCAACGCAAAGCGUCUCCUUUAGGACUAUUGGGCUUUUUACCCUUCCGGUUCGGAGGGCAGGACAGCCCACUAGCCCACAGACUAGUUCAAUUAUGAUUGGCUGGCCACGUUUCCACCUGCAACUCCGUACUUCUAUUACUCGCGAAAACUCUCAAAAAAAAAACUCGCGAAAGCACACCAGAGCACCCCUUCUAUUCACACCACACGUCAGAAUCCCCGCGUAUACACCACACGUCAGGAAUAGAAAUGAUGAGAAGUUAAAAUGUUCCCGCAAAAAAAAAGAGAAGUUAAAAGGGUGACCGAAAUGACACACCAUAUACAUGAAAGUAUCAAGUAUGAACACCAAAUUUUAAACCCUGAUGAAUAAAAUCAUGAGGAAAUUGCAUGCC
RNAcentral lists this long non-coding RNA (413 nucleotides) under Brachypodium distachyon (stiff brome). RNAcentral describes it as "long non-coding RNA (BDIS_LNC003699)". Lineage: Eukaryota; Viridiplantae; Streptophyta; Magnoliopsida; Poales; Poaceae. The record is from RNAcentral.